UGUCUCACUUGUUUUACCAAUUUGAUUACAUAUUUAUUUUGAAAAUGUUUUUCAAGUCCUUAUGCAGAGCACAUAGAUUCCACAACACCAUUUGACAAAGUGAGUUCCCUCAGAGCUCUUUUUGUGCAUGUUUGUUACAUGAUUUUACUCAAAAACAUCCGAAUUGAUUUCAGGUUGACUAUUAUACACAUCCAGGAAACUACAGCCCUGUUUUCCAUGAAAAAAUUGCCCCUUAUGCAUCUGUAAUUGUGAAUUGCAUGUAUUGGGAGAAACAGUUUCCUAGAUUAUUAUUGAGUACCAAGCAGCUUCAAGAUUUAACGAGGAAAGGAUGUGUUGGAAUCUCUGAUUUCACUUGUGAUAUUGGGGGAUCAAUAAAAUUUGCAACAGAAUUUGCAAAGGACAAGGCAACAAUUCCAUGAAUAUGAAUAUGAAUUUGAAUAAUUCGAAUUUAGGAAAAAGUGGUGGAGAAUGAAAGAGUUGGAGAAGAUCCAGAAGCCUUGAUAUUUUCAAACGUGAUCCUGAUUUCCUUGAGAAUGAGAAGCGCUAUGAAGAAUUGAAGAAAACCCUACUUGGUGAGGAGUCUGAAGAGGAAGAAGGUUCUGAUGAUGCAGUUUCAGAUGCCUUUCCCUGGCAGCAUGUGCUAGGCAAUAUACAGUUGACUGAAGAGGACACCACUUAUCUUCUCGUAUUUUUCUCAAGUUCCUUUUCGUGGAAUUGUCGGAGUAUCUUGGCAUCCGUUUGCUAAACCAGCGGCUCAAAGAUCCUGCAUUGCAGGACUCUCAUGAUUCUAUUUUCCCAAACGAUAAUCCCAAGAACACCAGCUUUACCAUUAACUUUUUCACAUCCAUUGGUCUUAGCAGCAUCACUGAGAAGCUGCGUGACUACUUGAAGCAGAUGCCACGACUAUGCAACAACAAAAAUCGGUGUCAGACUCAGAAUCAGAUGAUGAAGAAUACAAGAGUCGUUCUGGUUCAUCCGAGUCGGACACAGAAAGUUCUGAUUCUGAUGAAGGUGAAAGCGAUAGGGACGAAAGAAGCAAGAAGCGCAGGAGACGAAGGAGACAGGAAGCGUAGGACGAGAGUGAUGGCAGAAUCUUCGCGCAGUCCUGUACAGUGUUGAUAUAUUCUUUCUUUCUGUGAACAACAAUGCUUACUUUGCUUUUAGUUUCUGUGCUCAAGAGAGCCUGUUCUGAUGGUA
Molecule: long non-coding RNA, 1197 nt
Organism: Prunus persica (peach)
Lineage: Eukaryota; Viridiplantae; Streptophyta; Magnoliopsida; Rosales; Rosaceae
Exons: 2
Source: RefSeq, a predicted model, not a curated record